This 429-nucleotide ribosomal RNA is filed under the name Bacteroidota bacterium. RNAcentral describes it as "Bacteroidetes bacterium partial 16S ribosomal RNA". It matches the Rfam family "Bacterial small subunit ribosomal RNA", at positions 355 to 776 of the family's 1533-position model. Lineage: Bacteria; Pseudomonadati; Bacteroidota. The record is from RNAcentral.
UAGGGAAUCUUCGGCAAUGGGGGGAACCCUGACCGAGCAACGCCGCGUGAGUGAAGAAGGUUUUCGGAUCGUAAAGCUCUGUUGUUAAGGAAGAACGAGUGUGAGAAUGGAAAGUUCAUGCUGUGACGGUACUUAACCAGAAAGGGACGGCUAACUACGUGCCAGCAGCCGCGGUAAUACGUAGGUCCCGAGCGUUGUCCGGAUUUAUUGGGCGUAAAGCGAGCGCAGGCGGUUAGAAAAGUCUGAAGUGAAAGGCAGUGGCUCAACCAUUGUAGGCUUUGGAAACUGGUUGACUUGAGUGCAGAAGAGGAGAGUGGAAUUCCAUAUGUAGCAGUGAAAUUCGUAGAUUUAUGGAGGAACACCAGUGGCGUAGGCGACUCUCUGGUCUGUAACUGACGCUGAGGCUCGAAAGCGUGGGUAGCAAACAGG